AGGUCCCACCAUCCCAAAAAUUAUUCGCCUCAGCUUUCUCAUCUCUAUCAUUCAAAACAGAAAGAAGAAGAAAGGGGGAACUGAAAUGGCAGGUCCCGUUCCUCCUCCCGUCGACGAUCUACAUUCAGUUUCGGCAAGGAAAACCCAAUACAAGAACCCCCUUUCGUGACUUGGUUGACCCAUAAAUCCCACAACCCAAACCCAACCAAUCGGAACCCAUUUAUUCCCUCAAACUCAAUUGGAAAACCAUAGGCAGUCACAUAUAUCAGUGAUUUGGAAUGGCUAGACUUCGUACGAAAUGAAGAUCUUAACAUGGAACAUAAGGGGAAUGUCAAGUGAGCUGAAAAAAGAAGAAGUCUGAGUAAUCUGGUUGUAGACAAAAAGCCUGAAAUCCUACUCAUCCAAGAAUCAAAGUUGGAGAAUGCAGACAAAUUCCUAAUUCAAAGACUAUGGUAUGAUGCUGAUUUUGGUUAUGCAUUUGUUGGGGCUGAAGGUGCUUCAGGAGGAAUAACUAUAAUCUGGAACAAAGACUUUUUAUCUGUUGAGGACGUAAUUUGUAACACCCUUAAUUUCAUAUUUUGGUUCUUUUUGGAAAUUAAUAGUUAUGAGAUAUUGGGGUUGUCUUAUUAUGGUGUAAUUAUACAACAAAUAUCAUGGACUAAUUUGUCUAGACAUAAAAAUGCAUGCAAAGAGUCUUAGUUGUCAAGUUAGAGUGAGUGUGUACACGUGGAGAACUUCUAAGAGGUUUAGUGUGUGCAUGUGGAUAGAUAUGUGAUACCUGUCAAGUAUAGGGUGAGUGGUGAGGAAAUAAAACCAUGAGUUCAUGACAAGGUCUCGGAGCUUUUGGGAGAAAAAAGAAGCAACAGCUUCUGUGCGAGAGUUGGUGGUUCAUGGUGGAUGGGUGUACAUAUUGCGGCAAGGUGAUUUGAGGGUGAGUGUGAGAUACAUAUUUCUUGUACAAUAUUAAUGUUGGGUUUUUGUUGGUUGUAUUAUGUGCGGUGACUAUAUGUCGUAGAACUGUUUGGUAUGUGAUGGGGUGACUAGGCUAAUAAGCUAUGCCAAAAGACACGUUGGCCAAUGGGCUGUGGUGAGGCUAGUGAGGUGGUACGUCACCCGUCAUAUACUGAGGAGGACCGGAUAUGUGGUUCCUUUUAUGUGGAACGUGUUAUAUUCAUGGUUGGUGUUAUACGUGGUGGUUGAUGUUGUGCAGUUAUUUUAGUGUUGAUAUUGUACA
Molecule: long non-coding RNA, 1234 nt
Organism: Rhododendron vialii
Lineage: Eukaryota; Viridiplantae; Streptophyta; Magnoliopsida; Ericales; Ericaceae
Exons: 2
Source: RefSeq, a predicted model, not a curated record